Molecule: long non-coding RNA, 1206 nt
Filed under: Sparus aurata (gilthead seabream)
Lineage: Eukaryota; Metazoa; Chordata; Actinopteri; Spariformes; Sparidae
Description: lncRNA (ENSSAUG00010020340.1)
Source: RNAcentral
CAAAAUGUAUUAUUAUAAAUCAAUUCAAAUGAACACAUGCUUGUUACGGGAGGAGCUGAAUUGCAGCACCUCUGUAGAAAGCUAAUUAGAGCUGAUUAACAACAGCUGUGCCACCUGCAUGAGAGGCUUUUUCAGACCCAGUGUGUGGCACAGGUAGCACUUCCUGUUGGUGACUGAUGCAAUGGGAGCUAUGUGGGCCUUCGUCGUUUGUGUCCUGACUGUUUGGCUUGCCAAAGGGUCUUGUUUGCCAGUUGAUGGGACAAAUAAAGGGAAUGAUCAGAGGAAGAUGGAAGAUUUGCCUCUCAGUGAAUUCUUAUUAAAGGGGGCCAUUGCACUUCUCCAGGCAAUGGAGUCCAUGUUGGAGCAAGAUGUUAAAGGUACGGCCAUGGACUGCGGCACCUUCCCUGUUGUGGCUGGCGGUGGCUGCAGCAACAACGGCAGCCACAGCGCUGCCGACGGUGGCGGCGGCAGCAACAACGGAAGCCACAGCGCUGCCGACGGUAGCGGCGGCAGCAACAACGGAAGCCACAGCGCUGCCGACGGUAGCGGCGGCAGCAACAACGGAAGCCACAGCGCUGCCGACAGUAGCGGUGGCAGCAACAAUGGCAGCAGUGCUGCCGACGGCGGCGGCAACUAUGGCAGCAUCUUCCCCGGCGGCGGCAACUAUGGCGUCAUCUUCCCCGCAACUGUGGCGGCCGGUGGCAACGGCGUCAUCUUCCCCGCAACUGAGGCGGCCGGUGGCAACGGCGUCAUCUUCCCCGCAACUGAGGCGGCCGGUGGCAACGGCGUCAUCUUCCCCGCAACUGAGGCGGCUGGUGGCAACGGCGUCAUCUUCCCCGCAACUGUUGCGGGUGGUGGCAAUCGGCCACAGCAGUAGCGCGGCCGUCACUAGUGAACCCCAGAGCUGAUAACAAAACUCCUGUAACCACACUGCUAAAGUAGGGAAUAGUUUGCGGAAUCAUGCAAGAGUUCAGUUGAAGCCAUUUCUGUAUGUCCCAAGUUUUCUGCUUUAAAUAAAACUCUUAACUGAUACGUUUCCCUAUUUCUUCUUUCCCAGAUAAGGGUUAAAAGACCCUUAAAGAUUUAAAUUAUGACAAGUGCGACUGCUUGAGUACUUUGUACGUUUGCGUAGAUUGUGCCGCUUUUCUGGUCAGUUUCUGGAGAGCAGUUUGCAGCAUUAACACACUGACCGGGUAAGUAACAGUG